UAGCUAAUACCGCAUAACGUCGCAAGACCAAAGAGGGGGACCUUCGGGCCUCUUGCCAUCGGAUGUGCCCAGAUGGGAUUAGCUUGUUGGUGGGGUAACGGCUCACCAAGGCGACGAUCCCUAGCUGGUCUGAGAGGAUGACCAGCCACACUGGAACUGAGACACGGUCCAGACUCCUACGGGAGGCAGCAGUGGGGAAUAUUGCACAAUGGGCGCAAGCCUGAUGCAGCCAUGCCGCGUGUAUGAAGAAGGCCUUCGGGUUGUAAAGUACUUUCAGCGGGGAGGAAGGGAGUAAAGUUAAUACCUUUGCUCAUUGACGUUACCCGCAGAAGAAGCACCGGCUAACUCCGUGCCAGCAGCCGCGGUAAUACGGAGGGUGCAAGCGUUAAUCGGAAUUACUGGGCGUAAAGCGCACGCAGGCGGUUUGUUGAGUCAGAUGUGAAAUCCCCGGGCUCAACCUGGGAACUGCAUCUGAUACUGGCAAGCUUGAGUCUCGUAGAGGGGGGUAGAAUUCCAGGUGUAGCGGUGAAAUGCGUAGAGAUCUGGGGGAAUACCGGUGGCGAAGGCGGCCCCCUGGACGAAGACUGACGCUCAGGUGCGAAAGCGUGGGGAGCAAACAGGAUUAGAUGCCCUGGUAGUCCACGCCGUAAACGAUGUCAACUUGGAGGUUGUGCCCUUGAGGCGUGGCUUCCGGAG
Molecule: ribosomal RNA, 696 nt
Filed under: uncultured bacterium
Lineage: Bacteria
Description: bacterial SSU rRNA
Rfam family: Bacterial small subunit ribosomal RNA
Source: RNAcentral